This 856-nucleotide ribosomal RNA is filed under the name uncultured bacterium. Its description in RNAcentral is "bacterial SSU rRNA". It matches the Rfam family "Bacterial small subunit ribosomal RNA", at positions 11 to 915 of the family's 1533-position model. The record is from RNAcentral.
GUUUGAUCCUGGCUCAGAACGAACGCUGGCGGCAGGCCUAAAACAUGCAAGUCGAACGAUGUAGCAAUACAUAGUGGCGCACGGGUGAGUAACGCGUGGGAACGUACCUCUAGGUGAGGAACAACGUCGGGAAACUGACGCUAAUACCUCAUAAUAUCUUCGGAUCAAAGAUUUAUCGCCUAGAGAUCGGCCCGCGUUAGAUUAGCUUGUUGGUGAGGUAAUGGCUUACCAAGGCGACGAUCUAUAGCUGGUCUGAGAGGAUGAUCAGCCACACUGGGACUGAGACACGGCCCAGACUCCUACGGGAGGCAGCAGUUAGGAAUAUUGGACGAUGGGGGAAACCCUGAUCCAGCCAUGCCGCGUGUGUGACGAAGGCCUUAGGGUUGUAAAGCACUUUCGUCUGCGAAGAUAAUGACAGUAACAGAAGAAGAAGCUCCGGCUAAAUUCGUGCCAGCAGCCGCAGUAAUACGAAUGGAGCGAGCGUUGUUCGGAAUCACUGGGCGUAAAGCGUGCGCAGGCGGUUGUGAAAGUCAGAAGUGAAAUCCCUGGGCUCAACCCAGGAAUUGCUUUUGAAACUUCACGACUAGAGUACUGGAGGGGUUGGCGGAAUUUCGAGUGUAGCAGUGAAAUGCGUAGAUAUUCGAAGGAACACCGAUGGCGUAGGCAGCCAACUGGACAGUAACUGACGCUCAUGCACGAAAGCGUGGGGAUCAAACAGGAUUAGAUACCCUGGUAGUCCACGCCGUAAACGAUGUGUGCUAGUUGUCGGGAUCUUAGAUCUCGGUGACGCAGCUAACGCUUUAAGCACACCGCCUGGGGAGUACGGUCGCAAGAUUAAAACUCAAAGGAAUUGACG